UGUGAGUGGUGUUUGGGACGUGAGUGUUGGCAGGCUCCGUGCCUUGUGCAUCGAACUGUCGACCCUCACACCGCUUCAAUCUAAUCCCCCCCGGUCGUUGCGCCGGGGGGGUGCAAUCGGGAUCCUGUGCUGCUUACCAGUAACGAUGGAAAUCGGAUGUCGCUUUGUCCCUCAUCCGUCGCGCGCCCUUAGGGGCUGCGCGGCGGGCUUCGUUCAUGCCCGGUGUUCCGAGUGCGACCCCGAAUUCGAUGUGGCCGCCUCGGUGCACCGGGGCUUGAUCGUGCUUAAGGAUGCGGAAAGCUUUGUGGGCGUAGGGCCGCGGACCCUUUCGUUUGAUGCGAUGCGUUUUGUCCCUCGAUACGUACGACGCUCGUGCAUCGUCUUGGACUCUUCGUUGCCCACGCGGCUCGUUGAGGCCCAUGCGGUGCCGACGUCGCG
This 438-nucleotide unclassified non-coding RNA is filed under the name Bombax buonopozense (Gold Coast bombax). RNAcentral's name for it is "partial external transcribed spacer". Lineage: Eukaryota; Viridiplantae; Streptophyta; Magnoliopsida; Malvales; Malvaceae. The record is from RNAcentral.